AUGAACGCUGGCGGCGUGCCUAAUACAUGCAAGUCGAGCGAACGGACGAGAAGCUUGCUUCUCUGAUGUUAGCGGCGGACGGGUGAGUAACACGUGGAUAACCUACCUAUAAGACUGGGAUAACUUCGGGUAACCGGAGCUAAUACCGGAUAAUAUUUUGAACCGCAUGGUUCAAAAGUGAAAGACGGUCUUGCUGUCACUUAUAGAUGGAUCCGCGCUGCAUUAGCUAGUUGGUAAGGUAACGGCUUACCAAGGCAACGAUGCAUAGCCGACCUGAGAGGGUGAUCGGCCACACUGGAACUGAGACACGGUCCAGACUCCUACGGGAGGCAGCAGUAGGGAAUCUUCCGCAAUGGGCGAAAGCCUGACGGAGCAACGCCGCGUGAGUGAUGAAGGUCUUCGGAUCGUAAAACUCUGUUAUUAGGGAAGAACAUAUGUGUAAGUAACUGUGCACAUCUUGACGGUACCUAAUCAGAAAGCCACGGCUAACUACGUG
RNAcentral lists this ribosomal RNA (496 nucleotides) under uncultured bacterium. Its description in RNAcentral is "partial 16S ribosomal RNA". It matches the Rfam family "Bacterial small subunit ribosomal RNA", at positions 29 to 507 of the family's 1533-position model. The record is from RNAcentral.